This is a long non-coding RNA of Daphnia pulicaria, 2234 nucleotides long. RefSeq lists it as uncharacterized. The record is from RefSeq and is a predicted model, not a curated record. NCBI's taxonomy places the organism in Eukaryota, Metazoa, Arthropoda, Branchiopoda, Diplostraca, Daphniidae. The transcript is spliced from 5 exons.
CACGUCAACCAAAUGUCAUAUUUAUUGGUUCACGGAGUAGUACAGGCUAUCAUGGGUAUCUUUCACACCGUUUCCGGUCUGUCUGUUAAGAAACCGUCUCAGAGGGACUCGGAACUUUUAUAGGAACUAGACUAAUUCCGCCCUCCAGCCAACGGUCCGGGACUGGAACUCUUCGGAACUCUUGGCGCAAGCUUUGAUGUUUAUGGACACUAUCACGAAAAAACAGCCUGCGGCCUACAGACUUCUAUUCGCCGCCUUCCAAAAGAGAAUUUAUUCUUCUGGGUAUUUGUGGUUUGUGUGGAUGUCUAUGUUGGCGUUCAAUAUUUGCUCAACCAAGCGAAUCCUUAAAGCAAUAGCAAGUUUGAAUAUACCAGUAACCGCCAGUAACUGGUUUGCCUAUACCAAGGUCGCAGGUGGGACGCAAGAACAGAGCAGCAGUUCACGCAGACAUAUGAUUCGAGCGUGAAGUAGAGUCGACCUUGGCAACAGAUCGCGACAUCAAAUUCCUUGUUGGUCGUCGUUCCCGAACGAUUUUCCUGGAGGAAGAAAAUGCGUUGAUUGCGAACGAAAUCUCUUAUUUGAGAUCAAGAACUGUUUGUGAAAAACUGGAAACACUUUUUUUUUGUUUCUUCCAGAUUCACAAAGUUUUCUUGAGAAGAAAAAUAAUUAAACGUGUGUCACAGCUGACAUUUCGAAAUUCUUCUCAUCACGCCCUUGAAACUGCUGCUGCUGCGCUCGUAUGCAGAUGAAGUCGCGCUAAUGUUCGUGUUCAAUGUCGAAGGGCCUUUUCAAAUUUCUAGUUCUGUUGGAGCUUUUUGCACAAGUCCAUAAUGGAAGAUGUUACAGGAUGAUGGAAGAUCUUUAACGCUUGGGGUUAAUUCAUGCGUGAUCGAAAAUUUUUAAAUUUCAGACUGCCGAUGCGCAGCUUUUUUGACCAAUAAUUUAUACGGUCUCAAGAAAUGCCACAACAAGCUGAACUUUCCCGAACGACAUUUGAAGGAUAUAGCCUUUUACGUUGAUAGUAGUAUUAUAUCCUGGUAUUUGUAUGUAAAGAUAAGAAUUAUUUUACACGGACGCAAGAAAUGCCAUUACAAGCGGAAUUUUCCCGAACGACAGUUGAAGGAUAUAACCUUUUAAGUUCAUGGUGGUAUUAUAUCCUGUAUGUAUUAUGUUUGUAUAUGUUUGUAAGAUAAGAAGGAUAUUAUUCCUUCUUGGCAGUCAUUUAUCUGUGGGUUUCGUGUAAAUAUUGAAUUUUUUUCUUGUCUGUGGUAGGGUCAUUAGAUUAUUCUAAAAUAAUUCCGAUCCGUUUAGCGGAUGUCGAGCGCGGGUGGGAAAACCACUUUUAUCGUUGUCAAGUGGGUGUUGGGUGGAUUUUUAAAAUAAUUUAUAUCGAUAUUUUAAGAAACAAAUGGCUAAUUAGGAAAUUAGUGUGGUCUGCUGCUUUCCGCUUUCGGUUUGUUUAGUUUCGAAAUAAACGUGACAGUCGUGUCCAAUCUGUAGUCGCGUCUCUUUACAUAAGCACUUCGUACACACUGCUGAUUAGCAGUGCAGAUUUGAGGCCAGAGACAGCCAUCAUAACCACCAGAUAUGAUGUAACCAUAGACCUGUCAUCAGCAGCAAUCUCAGCAUCAUCGCUUGGUUUUACAGCACCCCGUUUGGAUUCUUGACUGAGAAACUACCGUUGCUGGCCAUGUUACGUGUCCCUUCUUCCCUUUUCUUUAAACGUCCUCGUGUACACCCAUGUGAGUGUGGGUGUAUUCACGAAGCCAUCCUUUUUCCUAUCCUGCCUGGUGUAUUCAACUAUACUGCGGAAGGAGCACUUGUGGAUGCCUGGCCGUAUAUUUCCCAGGCAUAAAGAUAAAACAUGACGGUCAACGACUCUAGACAAAUCGAAAAACGCGUCGAGGCAAAUAACUUGGCACGUCACGUUGAAGUGGGGAAAAUUCCAUUUUUAUAUCAACGCGGAACUUGUUUCAUUUGCAUUGCAGAUAUUUUGCGCAUUUUCUCUUAUAUAGCAAAAAGUAUAAAAAUACAUCCAGACUUGUCUUUUCCUUUCCGUGGUCAUUCCAAGGUGACCGCUAGAUAUGCAAAUUCUAAAUCGUAAUUCACGAACGAGAAAAGAAAGCAGCAAACAGAUAGAUCGCUGAUCGAUAACAUUUUAUUGGCGUUUAAAAAAAAAAAAAAAAUAAAUAGUAUGCUGGACAUUUUUUCGAUCGGUUACUAAUAAUAAUACU